AUGGAUCAGCCUGACGGGUUUGUGGUAAAGGGUGAAGAAAGAAAGGUAUGCAAGUUGUUAAAAUCUUUGUAUGGUCUGAAACAGGCACCUAAGCAAUGGCAUGAGAAGUUUGAAAGAACUUUGACUUCUGCAGGAUUUGUCAUUAACGAGGCUGAUAGGUGUGUUUACUAUCGCCAUGGUGGGGGCAAUAAUUAA
This 195-nucleotide ribosomal RNA is filed under the name Triticum aestivum (bread wheat). Its description in RNAcentral is "partial small subunit ribosomal RNA". Lineage: Eukaryota; Viridiplantae; Streptophyta; Magnoliopsida; Poales; Poaceae. The record is from RNAcentral.